UACGAGGGGGGCGAGCGUUGUUCGGAAUUAUUGGGCGUAAAGGGUGCGUAGGCGGCCUGACAAGUCUGAUGUGAAAUCCCUGGGCUCAACCCAGGGCCUGCAUCGGAAACUGUCGGGCUUGAGUAUGGGAGAGGUGAGUGGAAUUCCCGGUGUAGCGGUGAAAUGCGUAGAUAUCGGAAGGAACACCUGUGGCGAAAGCGGCUCACUGGACCAUUACUGACGCUGAGGCACGAAAGCUAGGGGAGCAAACGGG
Molecule: ribosomal RNA, 253 nt
Filed under: uncultured bacterium
Lineage: Bacteria
Description: partial 16S ribosomal RNA
Rfam family: Bacterial small subunit ribosomal RNA
Source: RNAcentral